This 292-nucleotide long non-coding RNA is filed under the name Physcomitrium patens. RNAcentral's name for it is "long non-coding RNA (PPAT_LNC013197)". Lineage: Eukaryota; Viridiplantae; Streptophyta; Bryopsida; Funariales; Funariaceae. The record is from RNAcentral.
AAAAAGUGUGAAAAUUUUAAAUUGAUAUCAACAGUUCAAUCAUUAGUUAUUGAGGUUCCAUUUUUCUAUAGGAUUUGUAAAGAGUUUGUUUAAGAUCUAGGAUUUGAUUAAGAUUUGGUUUAAGAUUUGGUUUAGGAUUUUGUCUAAGGUUUGGUUAGGAUGAGGGUUUGCUUGGAAUUUGGUCUAGAAUUUGUCUAGGAUUUGUCUAGGAUUUAGGGUUUUGUUUGAAUUUGAUAUAGGAUUUGGUUAAGGUUUAAUUAGAGUUUCAAUUAGAAUUGAAGUGUUUUUCAAA